UAAAAUGAGAGUUUGAUCCUGGCUCAGGAUAAACGCUGGCGGCAUGCCUAAUACAUGCAAGUCGAACGGGGGUGCUUGCACCCCAGUGGCGAACGGGUGAGUAACACGUAUCUAACCUACCUCAUAGCGGGGGAUAACUUUUGGAAACGAAAGAUAAUACCGCAUGUGAAUCUUAUUAUCGCAUGAGAAAAGAUUGAAAGGACCGUUUGGUUCACUAUGAGAUGGGGAUGCGGCGUAUUAGCUAGUAGGUGAUGUAAUGGCUCACCUAGGCGAUGAUACGUAGCCGAACUGAGAGGUUGAUCGGCCACAUUGGGACUGAGAUACGGCCCAGACUCCUACGGGAGGCAG
Molecule: ribosomal RNA, 348 nt
Filed under: Mycoplasma yeatsii
Lineage: Bacteria; Bacillati; Mycoplasmatota; Mollicutes; Mycoplasmatales; Mycoplasmataceae
Description: bacterial SSU rRNA
Rfam family: Bacterial small subunit ribosomal RNA
Source: RNAcentral